Molecule: ribosomal RNA, 444 nt
Filed under: Triticum aestivum (bread wheat)
Lineage: Eukaryota; Viridiplantae; Streptophyta; Magnoliopsida; Poales; Poaceae
Description: partial small subunit ribosomal RNA
Source: RNAcentral
AUGUACCAGGCGAUCCCCUACAGCGCUGGCCGGUGCUGGCGUGCCUGCAACAGUCCUAGCAGGCCGAGGCCGAGGGCGUGGCCGGCCAGGAGGGCGAGCUCGCGGCUCGCCGACACGGCGGCGAGGGGCGACGGCGGGGAGGUAGUGAGGAGGGCGGUGGCAGAGAGCCUGGUGCUGGUGGUGGGGAGGCGCGGGUGCUACCUUAGCCACGUGGUGAAGCAGCUGUUGCAGGGGCUCGGGGUGAACCCCGCCAUGCACGAGGUCACCGAGGAGGCCGAGCUCGCUGCAGCGGUGGCCAGGAACGCUGGAGGCGAGGCCAUCGUUGCGCUGCUGGCGGUGUUCGUUGGUGGGAGGAACCUCGGCGGGCUCGAUCGGCUCAUGGUCGUGCACAUCUCCGGCGAGCUCGUGCCCAUACUCAAGGACGCCGGCACGCUCUGGCUCUGA